GAAGAAGCAACUGUCUAUGAUGUCAAAAAGUCUAGUCUUUAAUUCAUCGUGAGGAAUGGUCGUGUAUAGUGUUGAAAAGUCAUAGGUUUUAAUGCUAUUGAUUUGGGAAAAAUUCUGUGAUUUCAAGUUUACUAAAAGUUCUUUAGAAUUUUUUAGAAUCCACAUUUGAAUAACACCACUUCUGGCAUAUGUAGUCGCACAGUAAGUUUGAAGUUUCUCCUUCACAGCUGUUAACAUUUUCGUGAGGAGCAACGAUAGGGGCUUGGUAGAACACUUACUGGAUCCAGCAAUGUAUCUUUGUUUGUAAGGGUUUUUAUGUAGUUUAGGAAUCCAGUAUAGGUACGGUAACUCAUAUUCAUUCGACCCAUUGACUAGAAUAUUAAAUGUGUCUAAAACUGAAGCAUGGUUUUGAAGAAUUUCGUCUUUUGAAAGGGCAGUUGGAGUAUAAGUAUGAUUACCAAAAGUGGAAUUAAUGCCAAGUUCGUUUAAAAUACAGUUGUAAUAAUGAGCCUUACAAACAAAGACAAUGUUGUUACUAGCUUUGUCAGCUGGAACCAAAACAUAUUCCUCAUGUAACCUAUCUAAUUCUUUUAUCACUUCUGGUUUACUAAACACAGAAGGAUAGAUGGUACGUACUUUGGUUUUCAUGUGUCUAAGGCGGGAUUUUAAUAUCCCUCUUAUAGUAUGUAAUACCAUUCAAAAAUGAUAAAAAGUAUAUCAGUAAUUAUUUUGAUAAUAUACUACCCUGAUUAUGGUUCUAAGAUAUCAGACUACUGGCUAUCAAAAUCAAUCGAUGUGUUGUCAGACAUAAUUCUAUACUGAUUUACUUAUAGCAUAACCUGUUUGGAAGAUAUGGAACAACUUCCUUAAACAGUCAAAUUCUGCUGGUUACACCAUCCCUGAAUAUAUUUCAAGGACAAUAUGUUGAGAAGUGUGUACAAAUGAUGAAUACAGGAUAGUACGAGAUAAGCAUUAUAUCAACAGUAAGAGAAGGAGCAAUAUCGCCAUUUGAUGAUUUGCGCCCUGCCCACUGGACAUACCACGACUGCCACUCCAGUUCACUCGGCUGUACAUUGAAUUAGUAUUGGCUUCGGCCGGAGGGUGAGCUCAGACUCUGAUGGACUGGUCUCUCACUCUGCGGGAAUCUGAUGCUCUUAUCCGUUAACCACUUAUCAUUCCGAGGAACGACCAUAACCUACAUUCCCUAUGGUGAACUGAAAAUACUUCAAGUGAAAAUUGCCACAGGAUGACACAGAUAUUUCAUGAUAGAGACGUCACCAAUGCCGGUGAAGGGCGGCAAAAUUUAGGCCUAUGCUUGGAGUUUACAGCCUUUGAGCAGGGGGUCUUGAUCCUGACACACCUGCUGUGACACAGAGCCUCGGGUUUUGUUGUCUUAUCCGAAGGACCGCCCCAUUUAGUCGCCUCUUACGACAAGCAGGAAUACUGAGGACCUAUUCUAACCCGGAUCACGGAGGUGUAUCGGCCAUAAUAAAAUCCACAAACAUUUAAUUCCAAAGGAAACCAACCAUCAGGACGGACACAGAAUUGUUUACACUCGAUUUAAGAUGUAGAUAUUAAAUCUAAUUUCUAUCAAUAUUUUGAGGAGUGUAUACAAAUGAUAACUAUGUGACGAUACACGAUAUACUGUCUGUCAUCGUAAAGAAACGAUAGCACACGUGUUGUAAUAACCUGCGGUCAACUGGCGAGAACUUUACGUUGUGUUUGAAUAAAAUAUUUUAUUUAUGCAUGGUGGAGUUGAAAUAAUUGGUUGAAACUUUUCAUUUGUUAACUACCACCUUUGUUUCCUCGUGGACUUUUCCAUCAUGUAUGUUUUAUUUGUGGUUUUGUCAUUUAUCCAAUGUUUUGAAAAGAAGAGAAUCGAAGUAGUAAGCCACGGCUAAUAGAAAUCUUCAACACCUAUGCAGAGUUUGGAUUUUUAAUCACCACUGAGAUAUGACUGAAAUAUAUGCAACGCGACAGAAAACACCAAAGCUUCAGUUAACUGACUACAAGAGACGAUCUAAUUAAAUAUACUGCAUCAACAAUAUACAAAAUUAAAACUGUAUUUAAAUCAAGAUCCGUACAUUCUUGAAAUCAUAUAUUAUCAAACUUAGGUGCAUGACUGUUUUUACAUACGGGGAACAUUAUGCAGAUUUAUAUUUCUUAAAUUUGAAGCUUUGAAAGGUGAAGGUAACGAACAGUGCUCAAUCUUAUAAAUCCCAUUAGCAAUACGAAUAAGAUAGUUGGGCAAACAUAGAACCCUGGACACAGGAGAGGUUGGAUCAUGAAUGAACCGUCCAUAUAUUCGUCAUGAUAAGCAUUCAUUGUUUGGGGAAAAAAUAUAGUAUUCAUAUUAUUUUUAUUUUUGGUUGCAUUGCUAAAUAGCGCAUUUGACCUGAUGGGUACAUCUAAUUUUCUACCAUGUCUUUAUAUGAGCAUUAUAUGUAGCCCUGGUUAUAUAUAUAUCAUGUUGUUGCGUUGUUGGAAUAUCACAGUACAAUAUUUACACGUUUUACAGGAUUGAAGAUGAGUAUUUUCAAACUAUAAUCCAAACUGUAAUAAAAUUCUAGA
Long non-coding RNA from Ostrea edulis (European flat oyster), 2571 nucleotides. RefSeq lists it as uncharacterized. The transcript is spliced from 5 exons. NCBI's taxonomy places the organism in Eukaryota, Metazoa, Mollusca, Bivalvia, Ostreida, Ostreidae. The record is from RefSeq and is a predicted model, not a curated record.